Dermochelys coriacea (leatherback sea turtle) is the source of this 6534-nucleotide long non-coding RNA. RefSeq lists it as uncharacterized. The record is from RefSeq and is a predicted model, not a curated record. The transcript is spliced from 3 exons. NCBI's taxonomy places the organism in Eukaryota, Metazoa, Chordata, Testudines, Dermochelyidae.
AGGGAAGGCUGGAUCCAAACCUGCAACCCUGGACACGCCCUCCCCUCUUCCCCAAAACACGCAGGGCAGGGCUUUGUGCGAAAGUGAAGUUAGGCUGCUGAUCAGCCAUUUAUGUACAUCAAACUCACGCCUGCACGUCGGGGUCUGAAGUGAGCUCUCACACACUGGGGCUUGCAUUAACUCCGGUUUCCAUCUGUCUAGCUGCACUUGAAGCACUUUCUGAACCUACCUGUUACAGUGUUAGGAUCACAAAAGCAAAGUUGUGCUGAACGCCACCGCGCCGGUCCUAGGGCCAUGGGAGCGGUGCGGUGGUGCUAAGACGCCCCCCUUGGCAGCCUAAUUCCAGGGCAGGGAACACAGCAGCAGCGCAGUGGAGCAGAGUGGAAUCAGCAGAGCCGCAUGAUGCGUAUUUCCAGCAGCCUUAGAGUGGGGUCACCGUCUGACUCCGGGAGAAAGGGCACUGCGCUGCCACACCAUUGCUUGUGUCUAUACAUUCAACAGUGCCAGUCCCACUGCUGACAGGGAGAGAAAUGUGUCUCUGCCAUGAGGGAGGCAGAGGGCUGCAUUUCACAGCAGGAAGGAUUAUAGCCAUGAAAGGUCUUUUUUAGCGCAAGGAAAGCCCAAUCCUACAGCAGUUGUAGUCAGCAGGUCUGCAAUGUGCAAACAGCUGCAUGGCAACUGCUGUGUUACCUCUGGCAUCACAACAAUCGGCUGUUAGGCGCUGUCUUGCAAUCGGAGGGUGAGAUCCUGCCUUUGACUGCCAGGGCCAGUUACUGGGGGGCAAAGCACAACAGGAGCCUUUUCUCCCCCCCACCAGCAAGGCAGAAUCCCUACAAAAGGGUGUGGCUGAUAGGCAAGUUACUGACAAGAACUGCUGGAAAGGGGGUGUGGCCAAGAGCCCAUCUGGUAAGCACACAAGCUGGUGUCACAUGCUAGCCAAGAGUGCACACUGCUCUUUUAAAAAAGAGGACUAAGCGCAGGAGUGUGUGACCUACUGAGCAGUGACUGGCCUGCCCUGGCACAACGGGUCCUGUAACCACUGCAUAACCAGCCUUGCCCUGCGGCCUCCUGCCCUCAACAAGGGCAGCUGGCAAGGGAGAAAACCCCGUUUCUCUCCCAUUCUGCACAGACACUUACGAAAAUCAGCGGGCAGAAGGGAUCAAUCAGUACAGGUGCUCUUGUGAAGACAACAUUUCCUUGCUCCCAUGCAUUGUAUGGAGAGAAAGAACCAUCUAGUUCACCAGCAACCCUUCCAGAAGCAGGGAUUAGAGGGAGCCCUGGCCAGGAAAGGGGGAGCAAAGAGAGCAAGGGGGAAUAGAUCAGUUUUGAUGGGGUGCCCAUCAAACCAUGACGUGUGACAGAAGGCACUUGGUAAAAUUCUUGAAAUGAAUUGAAAGGAAGCUUAGGAUGAUUUCCCUGCCUCUGACAUUUUGCCCCAUCCCUGUCCAUCUUCUCUGCAGCACACAUACACCUGGGACGCAGGGGUUAUUUCUGGCUAGGGAAGCCUAUUGUGGGGACCCUGGGUUAAGAUAUUGGCAGUCAGUCACGGCCAUGACACCUCUGGUUUUCUGGCUAACGUCCUUUGGUCUGAACGCUGCAUGGAAAACGUUAAGGCCCACCAUGACUCUGUAUCUUACAGACACCUCCAAUCACUCACACUUCACUCUUGUGCUGAUCUCAAAUGUGAUCAGAAUGGAUCUCUCCCGCUAGCCACCUAGCUCGCAGUUACCCAUCUAGUUUCCUCUCUAGUGGCCUUAUUCUGCUUUUAGCUACCAUUGCAUGUGCAGCUCCCACUGGCAUUACAGGGAAUGGUGCUUGUAUACAGGAGGGAAGAAAAUGGCCCAGAUGUUCAAAGUGUGCAUGCUUCUGUCCAUGUGCAAUCCCUAGUGCGCACACACAAGGGAUAUGCACACACCCAUGCUGGCACUCACACCAUGUGCAUUGCACAGGGACAAGUUGAACACAAGCAAAAUGCUUGUGCACUUCUGAAAAUCUGGGCCUCCAGCCCAGCCUAUAGCCCAGUUUCUAUUCUGUGGGUGGGGGGAGGAGGGGGAAGGAUAGCUUUAAUCCAGAUAACUACUAUGCACCUGCAACAGGCUACCUGCAUAUGACAAGCUUUUCCCCAUAUGUGUGUCAUAUCUUAAUCAGUCACCGUUCUGUUUCCACCUCCUACGUCCCCAACCUCUCUGCUCCCCUUUAAUCACCUCUAAAGGCCAGUUUGGAGAUGUGCACCACUGGCAGAGACUACAAAAGCUUCCAGGGCAACUACAGGAAGGAGUGGCUAUAAAUCCAAAGAGCAUCUUAAAGAAGGGCGAGUUGUUGAUUACACUUACAGACACAAAAAGUCAUGUCACAUAUAUGUGCCUCAGUUUCCCCAAAUGUAAAAUUGGGAUGUCAUAGUAACCGCCUUUGUAAAGUGCUUGGAGAUUUGUGGAUGAAAAGUGCUAUGUAAGAGCUAUGUAUUAUUUUUAUUUGAACGUUUAAUUUGUAUGGCCACUGCCUUUAAGGAACAGUCUGAAGAAUGGGGAGGGGUAAAGUUUUGACAUAUUUACCGCUAGGGAGACAGAAAUUUCUUCUCCCUUUAAAUAAAAUUCCUCAAGUUAGUAUAAAAUUGAGAUUUAUGUUUUCCUUUUUUAAAGGCUUUGCAAUAAAAUGCAAGUUAAGAGACCUGAAUAACACAGGGAGUCAUAUCAAGGGUAGAGGCCAUCUCGUUUGAUCGGUUUUGUUCUGUUUAUUUUUAAAUCUGUGCACUAGCUGUUCAGAACAGAGCUGCAGAAUAAAGCAACACCAACCUGAAAUCUGGUCAGUUUCACACAGGGAGUUAAAAGCUGGCCUCUAUACCUGCUUUGGAGUCCUCCUGCCAAAUUUUGUGGGUUUACAAUAGUGUUUUUACCUCCUCUGUAGCUGCAGGAGAGACCCUAACAAACAACAAGGAAAACUGGCUAUAUGCAAAGCACUACCACCUGGAAAUAAAUACAGACCCUUGUUCCUCUAAUCUCUUUCUGUUACAGUAAUCUCAGGUGUUACUUACAACAACAGUGGGUUAAAGCUUUUUUAGAGAGAAGUAUGAUUUUAACCCACUGCAUUUUGCUGCUGAUGGUUUUUAUGCUACAGACAUAACCAGUUACACUGGCUCCAAGUUUUUCUGACAUUACCCAGCUCAAAAAAAGUGUUUUGUUUGCUUUCAUCUGCUUUGUGAUGGUUAUUAUUUAUGUAGCAUCCAGAAAUACAUGAGGAACAUCGCUUCUGGAUCGGAAACGCAUUGAUCUAGUAUUGCUACACGUGCUGCUUAUCCCCCACAUGAAGUCAGAAUGCUCCAUUUGUGAUGUUACAUGUACUAAUUGCAGAGAGGGUCAUGCAAAGUGUGUGUGUGUGGUUUGUUGCUUUUUUUUAAACUUAGGGAUUUGUAAACAUCUUUGGUCAGAGCCCUGUUUUCUUAUGUUUGUGAGAUGCCUCAUGUAUUUCGUUCUGGAUGCUACAUAAAUAAUAGCCUAAAAGAGCUGCUCUAGGAAUUGUUUUGGGGAAGUCCUGUGGCUUGUGUAAUACUGGAGGUCAGACACAGUGGUCCUUUCUGGCCAUGGAAUCUAUGAAUAAAAUAUUUUUGAGCUAGGUCAUAAAAGAAAAUAUUUAAGGGAGGAAACCCCUCUUUGGAAAUAUUCAGGUGGGGAGCAUUAGUUGCUAACCAGCACAUUGUUCAAAAUGUGCUAGGACAGUGGUUCUCAAAGCUGGUCCGCUGCUUGUUCAGGGAAAGCCCCUGGCGGCCGGACCGGUUUGUUUACCUGCCGUGUCCGCAGGUUCGGCCAAUCACAGCUCCCACUGGCUGUGGUUCGCCGCUCCAGGCCAAUGGGGGCUGCGGGAAGGGCGGCCUGCUGGGUGACCUUAGGCAAAAUCACUUAAUAUGCCUGUGUUUCCUCUCCCACCCUAUGCCUUUUUAUUUAGCAUGUGAACAUCUUGGGAUAGGAGCAGUAUCUUACUAGGUGCCUGUACAGUGCCUGGCACAAUGGGGCCCUGAUCUCAACUGGGGCCUCGAGUUUCUACUGUAAAUAAUAUUAUUUGUGAUAAGAGACCUUAAAUAUUUAAAGAAACCCUGUAAUGUUUAAUUAAAAAAAAAAAAAGCGGGAGGAGGGGUGUCAGGAAUGUCAGCACUCAAGCUGAACUCUGUCCUUAGCCCCCCUACCACUGCAAGCUUGGAGAUUCUAGCAGCACGCUGGCUCAUCAGCACGCCUGGCUUUUCUGUCGCUUUAGGUGAGGCAAGCAGCCCCUGCCUGAACAGAGCUUUCUAAAGAUUUACAUCUCCGUUGAUUUACACCCUAGCCCCUGCCAGGCAGGAUAGAAACAUGCCACUUUUCAAAGUGGUGACACAACCCCCAAGGACCAGGGGUCACAGCUGUCAAAUGACUUCUUUAAAGUGCAAGAGAGACCCAGGACAGGUUUUAUAGUAUUUUAGUCCAUAGAGUGCCGCUGGCAAAGGACUUAAUGACGCAAGUUUGAUCAGUCCUCUCCAGCUGUCAAAAUCCCAUGGUUACUGACUCUCUUGAGAUCAUAGAGAUAUUUAAAAACAUCCCAUUUCCCUGGUCCUGUAAAACAUGAUACGGGAGGGCAUGGGAAUAGGGUUCUUCCUGUUAAAAUGCUGUCACAUUCUCCCAGUAUUCCCCCCACAAAAGAAACAAACAUUCAAUGAAUGCUAAGACUGUGCAGAUAACCACUCCACAAGGGCAGAGUUAGGGUUGCACUUCCUGAUUUUUCAUCUAACUAGGUCCUUGUAUAGCCCCUCUUCGCCAAAUUAUCUGAAUAACUAAGUCUCAUCAUUAAUCAAUGGAUUUUAUUCUUAUAAUGCUACUGAAUUACUAUUAACCCCAUUUUACAGAUGGAAAACCAAGGCAUAGAGAGAUUAAGGGACCUGCCUGAGGUCACACAGGAUGUCUGUCUGAUCUAGGGAAGGAGUGUAGGUCUCCCAAAUACCAGUUCAGUGUUCAAUCCAUAAGACCAUUCCUUCUAUGUCUAUGCUUUAUGGAGCCUGUAUUGUACAGGAGGACAGAUUAGAUGAUUGAAUGGUCACUUUUUGCUUUAAAAAUCUAUGGUUCUCCAAUUUUUCAAUAAUUCAGUGUAAUCAUACAUUUUGCCUCACAUCCUUACAUAGGUGUAACAUAGCUUGCACUUUUUUCCUCCAAUGUUUAAUCCUAACACUAAUUUUAUUGUCAUAAUAGUUCAGUAUCGCUUUAUUAUCAGACUUUUCAUACAGUACAAUUCUAUGCGAGUUCUCACGUUUCUAAUGUACACAGGAAGAAUUUAAUCAACAGCUACCCAAUGUUGUUUUCAACCAAUAGUAUCGACUUCCUGGCGUGCAAUUCAGGGGAUGAAACAGUUGACUAGAAAACUCAUUUGGUGGUCUAUAUCUGCUAGCUAAUUGUCCCAAUUACUGUAUACAGAUUACCCUGUGUGUACUUUUUACUGUGUAUUUUUUGUACAGUGGACAGUGUGGCCUAGUGGAUAAUGCACUGGAUUGGAACUCAGACCUGGAUUCUAUUCCCAGCUCUGCUGCUAGCCUGCUGGGUGACCUUGGGCAAGUUGCUUUCCUAGCUCUGUGCCUCAGUUUGCCCAUCUGUAAAAUGAGGUUAACGAUCCUAAACCUCCUUAGUGAGGCACUUUGAGAUCAACAGAUGAAAAGCUAGGUGUUAACAUGAACAGUAUUGUAGAAAACAUAAUAUAUGAUCGUGUAAUUAAGGCUGGGGCAGACCUAAGGUUGUAGGUGCCAGCUGUGUGCUGGCGAUCCCUGCCUUUAGAAUGCUUAACUGUUGCCUCCUCUCUGUUCUCCAAACAAGCUUUUUUGAAAAUAAAAUUUUAGGUUUUAUACAGAAAAAAGCAGCACUUGAGCCUCCAGCCCUUGGAUGUUCUGCAGACUUUCCAAAACUGCAGUUAGUAAGUGUCAAUCCCCUCAUCAAGAAAUAUGUGGGGAGACCCCCACCCGAAGGCCCCGCCAUCCUAGGAGGAGGCAGGGUUUUCACCUGUGAACCACAGGAACUCUGCACUCAGCUGCCAAGUUCCCACAGUGAGCCAGAGCGAGCAUCCCUGCCAUGCACCUUGAGAAUUUAUAGGAGCUCUGUCCUUGCCUGUACACCUUAGGGAGUCCACAGCUGGUGAAGGGGAUUUGAAUUUUUAUCAUUGACACAGGUGAUGUGAUGCAUCAAAGCAGGGCUCCCUCCUGCACACCAGAGACAGGCUGCAGGGCUCUGCUUCGCAAGAUCUACAGAUGCUGUGGUGAGGAGCUUGCAUUUGCCUCGGUCCCCGUGCGCCUUACAAGAGCUCUUCUCUCAGCUCCAGUUCUCCCUGCCAAUUUCAGCAACAGAACACUAACCAGGAGCCUGACUCAGCUGUGCACAGAGCAGCCUGCUUCAGGUCUGCACUUCAGGUGCAAUCCAACGCUCACUGUAGUCAAGUGCAAGAUUCCUGCUGCCUCUAUCAGCCCCUUGACAUCAAUGGAAUCUACUUGUGUGGUUAAAGUCAAGCAUGUGCAUAAGUGUUUUCAGGACUGGG